Molecule: ribosomal RNA, 409 nt
Filed under: uncultured bacterium
Lineage: Bacteria
Description: partial 16S ribosomal RNA
Rfam family: Bacterial small subunit ribosomal RNA
Source: RNAcentral
UGGGGGAAUUUUUGGACAAUGGGGGAAACCCUGAUCCAGCCAUCCCGCGUGUGCGAUGAAGGCCUCCGGGUUGUAAAGCACUUUUGGCAGGAAAGAAACGUCGCGGGUUAAUACCCCGCGAAACUGACGGUACCUGCAGAAUAAGCACCGGCUAACUACGUGCCAGCAGCCGCGGUAAUACGUAGGGUGCAAGCGUUAAUCGGAAUUACUGGGCGUAAAGCGUGCGCAGGCGGUUCGGAAAGAAAGAUGUGAAAUCCCAGAGCUUAACUUUGGAACUGCAUUUUUAACUACCGGGCUAGAGUGUGUCAGAGGGAGGUGGAAUUCCNCGUGUGCAGUGAAAUGCGUAGAUAUGCGGAGGAACACCGAUGGCGAAGGCAGCCUCGUGGGAUAACACUGACGCUCAUGCACG